GACCAUUGAUCUCAUGUUCAUUUAUUUGGCUGAUUGUUUUGCUAGUCUCACCUUUGAGACCAUUUAUCUAGGGAAACCUUACAUUAAAAUAAAGCAGAUGUACGAGAUGAAGGAAGAGCUGGGAAGAGGCAAAUUUGGGGUGACUAAUCUGUGUGUAGAGAAAGCCACAGGACGAGCGUAUGCAUGCAAAUCCAUAGCAAAGAAGAAGCCGCAAAAAGUGGAGGAUGUUAGAAGAGAGGUCAUGAUUCUGCAGCAUCUUUCAGAGCAGCAUAACAUAGUGGAAUUCAAGGGAGCUUAUGAGGACGGGAAGAACAUGCACCUUGUCAUGGAGCUAUGCAGUGGGGAGGGAACUACUCGGAGCCUGAAGCCACCACAAUCAUCAGACAGAUUGUGAAUGUGGUUCACGUCUGCCAUUUCAUGGGUGUGAUGCAUCGAGACCUCAAGCCGGAGAAUUUCUUGUUCGCCACC
RNAcentral lists this long non-coding RNA (468 nucleotides) under Glycine max (soybean). RNAcentral's name for it is "long non-coding RNA (GMAX_LNC003297)". Lineage: Eukaryota; Viridiplantae; Streptophyta; Magnoliopsida; Fabales; Fabaceae. The record is from RNAcentral.